This 1863-nucleotide long non-coding RNA is filed under the name Vitis vinifera (wine grape). RNAcentral's name for it is "long non-coding RNA (VVIN_LNC002697)". The record is from RNAcentral. Lineage: Eukaryota; Viridiplantae; Streptophyta; Magnoliopsida; Vitales; Vitaceae.
UUUACUGAUCCUACUUUUAACAAAUAAUUGAAUUAUGUGGCUUUCUUUUCCAUGCUUUCUGUAAUUUUUUUGCUUCACCUUGUUUUGUACUCUAAUUUUCAUUAAUCAAUUAUCAAUUGUGUUGAUGGUGCAGCACCAUCUGUUGGAGGAAAAUUAUAAUAAGAAAGUUGAACAUAUUUAAUACAACUCUUUCACUCUAGGAAGUCUUCCCUUUGGAAUCCUUCUGAUUCAGAUAGCACUACUGUUGUAAUCGAUUGAUUUAAGUCCAUUUAUUUAUGUAUUAGUUUCAUAUUUUUUAUUUGUUGGAAAAGCUUUACUAUUAUGGGGUAAAAACUGUCACAGGAUUGAAAUGGGAACAAAAUUCUUACAAGCAACCUUUGUUGGAUAUAUUGGUGAACUCUGAUUUUGUUUCCUUGCUUCUAUAAAUCCUAUUAUGUAAUGCAUAGUUUUGGUAAUUAUGACUAUUAAUUAACUGUUUUGACCUAUUGAUACUACUGGUUGCUAAGAGCGGCUACUGCUUCGUUUUUAAUGACUAAUUGUUGCAUAAUGUUCAGAUAAUGGGCUACCUUUCUGGUUCAUCUCCUCACAUAAAAAGUGGAGCAGUGUCUGUGCUAUCUGUACUGGUAUAUAAGGAUGCCAAUAUUUGUACUUCAGUACCUGAUCUGGUCCCUUCUGUUUUAGCUUUGCUGCAGGGGAAAGCUGUUGAAGUUGUAAAAGUGAGUCCCCGACUCAUAAUCCAGAUUGUUGUUUUGUAGUUACUCAUAAUGCUCAUGAGUCGAUUGUUACAUGUUAAACAGGCUGUUUUGGGCUUCGUGAAAGUAGUGGUAUCCUGCUUACAAGCUAGAGACCUGCAGAGUUUUCUUACUGAUGUACUCAAUGGUGUUCUCCCAUGGUCAUCUGUAUCAAGAAACCAUUUCAGAUCGAAGGCAUGUGCAAAUUUGCCUCAAUUCUUUUACCCUACACUUGCUCAUCUCUUUCUAUAUUUUGUUGCCUUAAGUAGUUUCUAUAAACAUGCAUGUCCACUGUAACUACAGGUUACAGUCAUACUGGAAAUUGUGGUAAGGAAGUGUGGUUCUGCUGCAGUCAAGUUGCUUACACCAGAGAAAUAUAAGGGUUUUGUCAAGACCGUUCUGGAGGUAAUAUUUCUUCCAAUCUUACCUCUUCUUUUGAAAAGACCAAAUAAUAAUGGGAAAAUAAAAAACUAUAAGGGUUGCCUGUUCUUUUUUUUUUUUUCUUUUUUUUUUAUUUAAUGCAAAAUUCCGAUUUACCAUGUCUACCUUAAUGCAGAAUCGGCAUAAUAGCAAGGGAAGUUCAAAGGAAGCUGAUGAUCCUGAAAAGGAAGAAAAACGUCCAAAUGCAUCUUCGAGGGGAUCUGAUUUUACAUCUUUGAGGCAGCAGAAGAGGGGACACAAAGAAUUGGGUUUUUCACCUAGAAAGAGGAAGAGGGAGAAGCAGCCAGAUGGCAUUGGCAGUGGCAUGAAAAGGGUUAAGAAGGCCAGGCAUUCAAAUUUUCGUAAUCAUGAAAAACAAACUGAAGGCCAGGCAAGAGGAAGUGUAAAGAAGAACAUGAAGAGGAGUUCGAGAAGAGAGGCUACCAGUAGAGGGGAUGGGGAGAGAAAGAAGAUGGCAUGGAAGAAGCAGAAGAAAAUUCAUAAAUGAGACUCUGAAAUGGCGAAUUUGUUUUCUCCCCUCUCCCCUCUCUCCUCACAUCAAUUUUUGCUUUACAGACAUCUUAACAGGGCCAUGGGACUUGGCCCUCCGAUGGAUUUAUUUAUUUUUUAUAUAUUAAUUUUAUACUCCAGUCAGUUAUGUAACAUCUAAAUGCCGCCACUUACUCCUAGUUAGUUUUGAGAUGAACUUCAC